ACACAGGUGGUCAGGUAGAGAAUACCAAGGCGCUUGAGAGAACUCGGGUGAAGGAACUAGGCAAAAUGGUGCCGUAACUUCGGGAGAAGGCACGCUGAUACGUAGGUGAAGCGACUUGCUCGUGGAGCUGAAAUCAGUCGAAGAUACCAGCUGGCUGCAACUGUUUAUUAAAAACACAGCACUGUGCAAACACGAAAGUGGACGUAUACGGUGUGACGCCUGCCCGGUGCCGG
RNAcentral lists this ribosomal RNA (233 nucleotides) under Escherichia coli. RNAcentral's name for it is "partial 23S ribosomal RNA". It matches the Rfam family "Bacterial large subunit ribosomal RNA", at positions 1657 to 1872 of the family's 2925-position model. Lineage: Bacteria; Pseudomonadati; Pseudomonadota; Gammaproteobacteria; Enterobacterales; Enterobacteriaceae. The record is from RNAcentral.